RNAcentral lists this ribosomal RNA (451 nucleotides) under uncultured bacterium. RNAcentral's name for it is "bacterial SSU rRNA". It matches the Rfam family "Bacterial small subunit ribosomal RNA", at positions 34 to 484 of the family's 1533-position model. The record is from RNAcentral.
UGAAUUCAUUAGUGAUUGAGGCAUAGCACAUGCAAGUCGAGCGGGGUUUUCGGACCUAGCGGAGGACGGGUGAGUAAUGCGUAGGAAGCUACCUGAUAGAGGGGGAUACCAGUUGGAAACGACUGUUAAUACUAGAUAAUGUCUACGGGGUAAAGUGUGGGACCUUCGGGCAACAUGUUAUAGGAUGGGCCUACGUGGGAUUAGUUAGUUGGUGAGGUAAUGGCUCACGCAAGGAGACGAUCUCUAGUUGGUUUGAGAGGAUGAUCAGGCACACUGGAACUGAGACACGGUCCAGACUCCUACGGGAGGCAGCAGUGGGGAAUAUUGGACAAUGGGCGCAAGCCUGAUCCAGCCAAGGCGCGUGUGUGAAGAAGGCCUUCGGGUUGUAAAGCACAUUGAGUAGGGAGGAAGCGUUGAGUGUUAAUAGUACUCAGCGUUGACGUACCUACAG